UAGAUGGAUGCUUGGUGGUUAAAGCGCUUAGCUGUUAACUAAGUUUUUGUAGGAUCGAGGCCUGCCCGUCUAG
RNAcentral lists this transfer RNA (73 nucleotides) under Pardachirus pavoninus (Pacific sole). RNAcentral describes it as "tRNA-Asn". It matches the Rfam family "tRNA". From Rfam's summary of the family: Transfer RNA (tRNA) molecules are approximately 80 nucleotides in length. Lineage: Eukaryota; Metazoa; Chordata; Actinopteri; Pleuronectiformes; Soleidae. The record is from RNAcentral.